GGCCUCUCUCCCAUGCGAUUGUGGGGGGUCCCUUUCCUCCUCUGCCAAGGCUGAAAGCCAAUAUCAGCCCUCAAGGAUCAUCAUCACGACUGCCGCAAGCUGGGCAGCCUUGUUUUCCUAUCUCAGACGCUU
Prolemur simus (greater bamboo lemur) is the source of this 132-nucleotide non-coding RNA. NCBI's taxonomy places the organism in Eukaryota, Metazoa, Chordata, Mammalia, Primates, Lemuridae. The record is from Ensembl.